UGGUUCCAAAAACACAACCCUGAUUGAUUAUUAACAAACAUACCUCUAGACAAAAUGAUGAUCAAUUGAUUUUGUCUUCAAUCAAAACAUCAGUCAAAAUUCAACAAGCACAAGCCUAAAAUGUUUGGUUGUACCUUGGGAUGAAGAGCUUUGCAACCUCCACAGCCGGGGGAAAAGAAAUCAACUACAACAAGUUUAUCCCCAGCAUGCAAAAGGGAGUCAACCAGGUCUUGGGCACCAGUCACCUCUUUCAUAUUAGGUAGAACCCCUUUCUCCCACCACUUCUGAGCUUUCCCAAUUGCAAAGCCCACCUGUAUACACACACAAUUCAAAGGUUAGAAUUAUCCUUAAGAUUUAUGCACCAAUAACAAACCAGAAUGCUACAACCUAAGAGCCAAAUCAAUCAUGGAACCUGAAAAUUGAAAUCAAACCAUCGGAAACAUAUUCACAAAUUAAUUAACCAGGGAAACAGAAAGACUAUAUUUUUGCAUAGGUAUGAAAACUUCUGUUAGGACAGUUGUAGGGAUAUAACUUAAAUAAAUAAAGCAGCAACACAACCAUCCACAAGUUUAUUCGUAUAAAAUGCAAUCGUUUAAUUUGUCAAGUUAAAUUUUAAUUGACCUGGAGAAAGAAAAAGGAAUUCUCCUUUCAAGCAAAAAUAUGUUCAGACGGAAAUGAUCAAUCUUUCAUAAGGCAGGCAAAAUUCAACUCUUUGAAAAAAGGUAUAGAAACGCUGCUUCAGAUCAGGUGGGGGUGGUGUGGUGAAACGCAAUGAAGAGAGCUGGCUUUCUGCUCAGAUUUUGUGAAUUGAAUCGAUAUAAUAAUGCCAAACCCCAUCAUAUUUUGUAGUAUCUAACAUGGAUGGUGUCAAUUUAAUAAAAUAAAAAGAAACGGGCAAAUACACCACAAAUUCAAUUUCAAAUCUGCACUACAUAAUUGAAAUAAUUGAAGAGUAUUGAGGACAAAUAACAAACGUGGGCAUUAGGAGGCGGUGGUCGAGGAUUUCGUCUGAUGGCUCCGAUGUUUCCACGGGCGAAAAAUUCGGCGCUUGCAAUAAUAAGGUUUAAACAUCUACAUGCCUUGCAUAUAGCAUUUUCGUUUGUUUAUCGCCCUUCACCAACAUAAUUUACACUAGAAGAUAACAUACAUCUGCACAAAGAGGGAAAGAAGUUGGGCUCUGACCACCUAAAAAGACUGAAUAAUCUUCUGGAGAAGAUCAGUUUCCUCGAGUUCUGUACAUGAGGGAAGGCACUUGGAUCCAGCCGCCUAAAAUACUAACUGAACAAUCUUCCCCAAAGACGAGGUGCCUCAAGUUUCGAGUCGCCUUUAUCGAGUAGUGGAUGGAAGCGGAAGGGGAAGGGGGAGGGGAAGAGAGAGGGGGAGUAUCGCUUCAUGAGACAAUGGUGAUGUUACUGCACUUAAAAUCUCUUCCCUCUCCCUUUCAGGAACAAAUACUUGUCCCUCUUCCUUAGGUAAUGGAUCAUAGACGAAGGAUAGAUCCCUAUUAGCUGAGAGAGCAAGUAGCUCCUUCUCCUCCAGCCCUUUGGUGGGACACAAGCUGCAACGAUCCGGACUGUGCUUCGCCAGAGCAUCUUUAAAUUUCUUGAUCUGUCAUGAUAUCAUCAACAUCACUAUGAGUAUGGUUUCAGAGUAAGAUUGCGCAAAGAAAAAGAAAUAACGUGUGAACACAAGGCCACAUAGCCGGGGCAAGCAUUACUAAGAACUUAACAUCGUUGCAGGACUUGUAAACUCUCAGCUUCAACCCAUAUAUCAGGUAAGUAAAGAAAAGUAACAAACAGGGGAACAAAGGUAUAAGACUCACCGUGGCAUUGGUACAACUAAAACUGCACAGACGACCAUGAGCACCUCUAUAAAAGCGGAAGAAGGGAAGGACAUGGAUAUUAAGAGCAUAGCACAUAGCCUUGUGCUCAUCAUAAUUAACCUGCAGGAACUGCACGUGCGGAUUCAUCUCCGCCAAUUGACAUAUCUGUGGUUCCAAAAACACAACCCUGAUUGAUUAUUAACAAACAUACCUCUAGACAAAAUGAUGAUCAAUUGAUUUUGUCUUCAAUCAAAACAUCAGUCAAAAUUCAACAAGCACAAGCCUAAAAUGUUUGGUUGUACCUUGGGAUGAAGAGCUUUGCAACCUCCACAGCCGGGGGAAAAGAAAUCAACUACAACAAGUUUAUCCCCAGCAUGCAAAAGGGAGUCAACCAGGUCUUGGGCACCAGUCACCUCUUUCAUAUUAGGUAGAACCCCUUUCUCCCACCACUUCUGAGCUUUCCCAAUUGCAAAGCCCACCUGUAUACACACACAAUUCAAAGGUUAGAAUUAUCCUUAAGAUUUAUGCACCAAUAACAAACCAGAAUGCUACAACCUAAGAGCCAAAUCAAUCAUGGAACCUGAAAAUUGAAAUCAAACCAUCGGAAACAUAUUCACAAAUUAAUUAACCAGGGAAACAGAAAGACUAUAUUUUUGCAUAGGUAUGAAAACUUCUGUUAGGACAGUUGUAGGGAUAUAACUUAAAUAAAUAAAGCAGCAACACAACCAUCCACAAGUUUAUUCGUAUAAAAUGCAAUCGUUUAAUUUGUCAAGUUAAAUUUUAAUUGACCUGGAGAAAGAAAAAGGAAUUCUCCUUUCAAGCAAAAAUAUGUUCAGACGGAAAUGAUCGAUUCAUAAGGCAGGCAAAAUUCAACUCUUUGAAAAAAAGGUAUAGAAACGCUGCUUCAGAUCAG
RNAcentral lists this long non-coding RNA (2735 nucleotides) under Olea europaea (common olive). Its description in RNAcentral is "long non-coding RNA (OEUR_LNC000974)". Lineage: Eukaryota; Viridiplantae; Streptophyta; Magnoliopsida; Lamiales; Oleaceae. The record is from RNAcentral.